Castor canadensis (American beaver) is the source of this 74-nucleotide non-coding RNA. Lineage: Eukaryota; Metazoa; Chordata; Mammalia; Rodentia; Castoridae. The record is from the annotation of a RefSeq genome assembly.
GGCGGAGUGGCUCAGGUGGUCAGAGUGCCUGCCUAACAAGCAUGAGGUCCUGAGUUCAAGCCCCAGUACAGCCA